This 253-nucleotide ribosomal RNA is filed under the name uncultured bacterium. RNAcentral describes it as "partial 16S ribosomal RNA". It matches the Rfam family "Bacterial small subunit ribosomal RNA", at positions 524 to 776 of the family's 1533-position model. The record is from RNAcentral.
UACAGAGGGUGCAAGCGUUGUUCGGAAUUACUGGGCGUAAAGGGCGCGUAGGCGGCCUUCUAAGUCGAACGUGAAAUCCCUGGGCUCAACCCAGGAACUGCGUCCGAUACUGGAAGGCUUGAAUCCGGGAGAGGGAUGCGGAAUUCCAGGUGUAGCGGUGAAAUGCGUAGAUAUCUGGAGGAACACCGGUGGCGAAGGCGGCAUCCUGGACCGGUAUUGACGCUGAGGCGCGAAAGCCAGGGGAGCAAACGGG